AGUCGAGCGAGAAAGUAUCUUCGGAUAUGAGUAGAGCGGCGGACGGGUGAGUAACGCGUAGGAAUCUACCUAGUAGAAGGGGAUAGCCCGGGGAAACUCGGAUUAAUACCGUAUACCUCCUAAGGGAGAAAGAGGGCCUCUCUUGAUGCUCUCGCUAUUAGAUGAGCCUGCGUAAGAUUAGCUUGUUGGUAAGGUAAUGGCUUACCAAGGCUACGAUCUUUAGCUGGUCUGAGAGGACGAUCAGCCACAUUGGGACUGAGACACGGCCCAGACUCCUACGGGAGGCAGCAGUGGGGAAUAUUGGACAAUGGGCGCAAGCCUGAUCCAGCCAUACCGCGUGUGUGAAGAAGGCCUUCGGGUUGUAAAGCACUUUAAGCAGGGAGAAAAAGUUAUAAGUUAAUACCUUAUAACCGUGAUGUUACCUGCAGAAUAAGCACCGGCUAAUUCCGUGCCAGCAGCCGCGGUAAUACGGAAGGUGCAAGCGUUAAUCGGAAUUACUGGGCGUAAAGCGCGCGUAGGUGGUUUGUUAAGUUGGAUGUGAAAGCCCUGGGCUCAACCUAGGAACUGCAUCCAAAACUAACUCACUAGAGUACGAUAGAGGGAGGUAGAAUUCAUAGUGUAGCGGUGGAAUGCGUAGAUAUUAUGAAGAAUACCAGUGGCGAAAGCGGCCUCCUGGAUCUGUACUGACACUGAGUGCGAAAGCGUGGGUAGCGAACAGGAUUAGAUACCCUGGUAGUCCACGCCGUAAACGAUGACACUAGCUGUUGGGAGACCAUGUCUUUCAGUGGCGCAGCUAACGUUUUAAGUUGUCCGCCUGGGGAGUACGGCCGCAAGGCUAAACUCAAAUGAAUUGACGGG
Molecule: ribosomal RNA, 858 nt
Filed under: uncultured marine bacterium
Lineage: Bacteria
Description: bacterial SSU rRNA
Rfam family: Bacterial small subunit ribosomal RNA
Source: RNAcentral